Long non-coding RNA from Helianthus annuus (common sunflower), 1003 nucleotides. RefSeq lists it as uncharacterized. The transcript is spliced from 4 exons. Lineage: Eukaryota; Viridiplantae; Streptophyta; Magnoliopsida; Asterales; Asteraceae. The record is from RefSeq and is a predicted model, not a curated record.
AGCGGCAAAAUGCUUUUCCUCAUUCAUCCUUCAUUUGUGAAACCGCCUAAUUUUUUUCUUCAUAUGGAAACCCCAUUCAAUUCCCAAUCAAUUAUCAAUCAGUUGAAAUUCUUCUCUAUAAUUAUGAAUACCUUUCCAUUAUCACUUAUAAACUCUAUAUGUUUAAUCAUUUGAGAGAUCUUCAACAUGUUGAUAUUGCAAAUCACGAACCCUAGAUCUAAGCUGCUCUUCCCCUUUGGCGAUUAUACUUGGACGCAUUCUUCUAUCGCAUAUUGCUUCUUCAAUUUGUUCUUCCUCUCGGUAAUUGAUUUCAUUAUCGGCGGCUAGGGUUUGCGGCAACAAACGUUGACGAUUAACAUAGUCCAAGCAAUAUUGAUUUCAUGCUCUAUGUUUCCAGUUGAAGGUCCAAUUUUAAUUGCAUACUUGUGGUAGUGACAAUGUGCAUUGUGGAUCUGAAAGGGGUCAUGUUGGAGGUCGUAACCAUCCAUAAAAAGUAUCUGCAUCCAUAAAAAGUAUCUGCAGAUGAUCUGGAUGCUCAUUUAGAGAGCUAUGAUAUUACAGCUUCUAUGGGGUGUGACGAACAUGGUGGUAGGAAGUCUGCGGAGUAUGUAGCGAAGAAUAUGCACUCAAAUGUGUUUCAUCUAUGUUUAACAACGGGAGGGAACUUGUAAGCGAGAUAAACGGUAUCACCUCAGGCAACUCCACAAGAUCACGAUACAAAUCAUACUCUGCUAAGCUUCAUAGUCAUGCAAAUAAAGCUAUGGUGCUAAAACAUCACAGAAUGCAGUUGGUUAAAUACAUCAAAACACCCUUUUUUAUAAUGUGGCAUAUGAUUCAUGGUAGGUUUAAUAUGAACAAUGGUAAUAUAAGCAAUAAUGACAUCUAUAUUGGUUAAUUUUGGUGUUAUUUUAUAUUUAAUUGUAAUAUACUAUAUAUGUGUCAAGUACAAAAUAUACUGGCUCCAGGAGUUUCUAAUCCAAAAAGAACCUGGCGUAAAUGCAAA